Molecule: ribosomal RNA, 449 nt
Filed under: uncultured bacterium
Lineage: Bacteria
Description: bacterial SSU rRNA
Rfam family: Bacterial small subunit ribosomal RNA
Source: RNAcentral
UGGGGAAUAUUGGACAAUGGGCGCAAGCCUGAUCCAGCAAUACCGCGUGUGUGAAGAAGGCCUGAGGGUUGUAAAGCACUUUCAGCGAGGAGGAAGGGUAUAUGGUUAAUACCCAUAUAUUUUGACGUUACUCGCAGAAGAAGCACCGGCUAACUCUGUGCCAGCAGCCGCGGUAAUACAGAGGGUGCAAGCGUUAAUCGGAAUUACUGGGCGUAAAGAGUGCGUAGGCGGAUACUUAAGUCAUGUGUGAAAGCCCUGGGCUCAACCUAGGAAUUGCAUCUGAAACUGGGUAUCUAGAGUAUGGUAGAGGACAGUGGAAUUUCUGGUGUAGCGGUGAAAUGCGUAGAUAUCAGAAGGAACAUCAGUGGCGAAGGCGACUGUCUGGGCCAAUACUGACGCUGAGGUACGAAAGCGUGGGUAGCGAACAGGAUUAGAUACCCCCGUAGUCC